UUUAUUUUAGUAUUAUUUUCGUAGUAGUAGUAGUUUUUUAUAGCAAAAACAAAAUUAAAUAAUAAUAAUUAAAUGUUGAUGGAUGAUUUGCCUUGAUUGAGGUCAACAUAAAAACCUCUAAAUUAUGGCAUAUUUUCUUUUCUGCCACAGGCUGUAAAUUAAAAAGUUGUUUGGAAAACACCAAAUGUCAUAAAUCAUAAAACACCAAAGAAGAGUGAAGCCAAUGGAAAAUACAACAUUUUCAUAAACAGCUUAAUUGUUUAAUAGGUGCUGUCAAUGACAUUUUGAUUAAAUUGAACAUACCACUUUAAGGAAAACAAACAACACCAUAAUGCUUUUAUGCUAGAUUCUGGCCUGUAUCCAUGGCAACAUCCUGAUAAUUCAGCUUUUGGAAGCUUUUUGAGAGAAGAAAAUUACAAUUUUCAUCUUUGAUUAUGAAGAGCAUUCAGAAAAGUCCUCAGACAUGUCUAGAACCAGACGCAGACUACUAUUAAAAACUUUUGCUGUCAGUUUUUCAAAAUUUAAUUCAGCAAGGAUUCAUUAAAUUGAUUAAAAGUAACAGUAAAACAUUUUUUUUUUUACAAAAACUUACAUUUACAAUAUACAUAUUGUAAACAACCAUCACAAAACAGAAAGACAGUCAAGGAUCAUCAGGUGACCACACACAGUACUAAGAACCAAGGGUUCCCAAACUUUUGAGUGGGGUUAUUUUAAUAAUUGCAGCAUUUUUUUAGUCUUGUGGACUAAAUGUUAAUAUAUUUUAUGUACAAUAUCUUACUCAGGACAGUACUAAAUGAAAUAUAACAUGCAUUUAGUAUGAUCUCUCUUAUUUUUUGAAAAUUACUCGUAUUUUCACAGAUUCUGCAAGGGGUGCCCAAACUUUCGAGCCCCACUGUGUAUAUAUAUAUAUAUAUAUAUAUAUAUAUAUAUAUAUAUAUAUAUAUGUUCUUUUGAACUUUCUAUUCCUUACAUAAUCCCUGAAAAAAGUAUCAUAGUUGCACGAAAAAAUUAAACAGCACAAUUUUUUUACAUUAUUAAUAAUAAUAAUUAAUAGUAAAUAUUUCGCAGUAAUUACUGUUUUUUAGCAAAUAAACACAGCCUUGAUAAACAUAAGAGAUAUGUUUUUUUUAGGCAAAAAUUACAGACUCAAAACUUUUGAACGGUGGUCUAUCUAGUACUUCUGGAACCCCGUCUGGUCAGGAAAUCUUAUUACUUUUUACUUAUGUGAGAUUAUAUAAGAUAGUUUAGCUACUGUACAACUGCAAAGCCUUAUAGAAUACUAUAUACAUUCAUUACUGCUUUUUAACUAAACAUACACAAUAAUUAAGCAUUUACUUAAAAAUUCUUUAUUUUGAUGUAAGGAACAGACAUGGACAGAGUUAGUGACAUUUUGAGUGCUAAAUUAAGAGCCAAAAUAAAGAUCUUAAAGUCCAGAUUGUGGCCAGCAGAGGGCGCUACACGGUUUUAAAUAGACUUGGAUGGCAGCAUCCAAUUAUAAAACAGAAAAACAGAGCAACAGCGUUGACCACGUGAAUUCAGGAAUAUAAACUUCAGUAUAUUCUAUUAUUGUUACAGGAAAUCUACAAUAAACUCUUCAUUUGCGCUAAAGCAUCUGUAAGAACUCUGUCACGGCCAGUAUAUAUCAGAUAGCUACAGAAUGUGUAACCUUUUUAACAGAUCUUAUUGAUGGCAGAUAAGCACCCUGUGUUGACCACAAAAUGUCUUUUUCACUUUUGAAUGUACAGUUUUAUAUUUAGACCCAUCCUGAUUGCUUUGUCCAGCGAAUCCACUGCUUACUAAUAUCCCAGAAUCUAACAGGGGUUCAGAUAUGUGAUUGGCUGGUACACAGUGUUCAGACACGGCUUGUAAAAAACAUAAUUGCAUGUAAUUUAGUGUCUAAUCCAGGACCGUCUUACAAAAGGCAUAAUGCAGACUGGUUGUUCCAAACUUUUGUCUCAGCAGGGGCUCGGCACCGGCAGUGCUGCAAACACGUCGUUGAGAUCCAGCUGUUGGCCACAUGUGUGUGAUGGGGUCGUUGAGUCCAUACCAAGCUCUACAUCAUAUCCUUCUCAUAUCUUUCAGAGUUCCUAUGGACCACCAAGUUGGGAUGAACAGGCGACUGAAGAACCUUGGCUUUGUCCAGAAGGUUCUAGGCUCUUCUGGUUGUGGAUGCAGUGUGAAAAUGCUGAGGAAAGCCCUUCUGUGGAUGAGAAGGUAGGGCUGCUGGCCCUCAUCCUGUUAUCCCAGCCUCCAGAUCCAGUCAGUCUUCACACCUCUUCAGUCACACAUACACAGCACAGACAUCAUGGAGGGCAGCAUGAUGAUGGGUGUUGAAGGGAUCAAGAAAACCAUCUUGCAUGGAGGGACCGGUUAGAAGUCUAAAUUUGUCUAAGGGGCAAUGAAAGCCUUCUAUCUGCAUUGAACAGCCCACAUGGAGGUAUGGAAUGAAGCUGAGGCCAGAGAUGAUUUCAUGAGAGUCCUGGAUCUGGACCCAGGCAUGAAAAAGACAACCAAUAAAGAGCUUGUAGUUCUCAAAAUGGGAAUGGAGUUAAAAAAAAUUGAGGACAGACUGAAAUACAAGGACAUGUUCACAAAAAUGGCAAGAGAGCAAGAGUCUCUAGAGCUGGAGAGUCCAGAUCAAGAGAUUCCAGAGCAAACAUCUCCAAGGAACAACUCAAGGAGAACAGAGUCCAGAGGAAGCAUGGCUAUAGAGCAAACAGGUGAAGAACAACCAAGUUCAACGCAAACAUCUCCAGAGCUAAUAACUUCAGCACAAGAAGUUACACAAGACAUUGUUUCACAAGAAGAAACAGUUACUGCACUAUCGAGUUCUGAUCAUGAGAAACCAGAACAAUCAACUACUUACUCAGAAUGUGACUCCAGAACAAACUACCACAGAAGAAGCUACCCCAGAACAGUUAGACGCAGUAGAAAUGUUUCUGGAGCAAUUUGUUUCUGAAGAACCAUCACCAGAACAUACAACUCCAGAGCUAACGUGUCCAGAACAAGCAGACCAAGAUCUUGUAUCUUCAGAACACAUGACUCCAGCUCAAAUAACACCAGUCAAUGACUCUUAAUCAUACAGUAGCAACAUUUUCAAGAGAGGUGCAAAGAUGAUGUGGGAGAAAGAUCAAGUUUUUACUUCUGUGAUGUUUUGUCAGCUGCUUUUCUUCAUGUGUUCUACAUUAUAAUCUAAGAUUUAACUUUACCAUUGUGAUUGAAGUUUUGCCAAAUCAUCAAAUAAAAUAGUCCUCAAUCA
Carassius gibelio (silver crucian carp) is the source of this 3259-nucleotide long non-coding RNA. RefSeq lists it as uncharacterized. The record is from RefSeq and is a predicted model, not a curated record. The transcript has 2 exons. Lineage: Eukaryota; Metazoa; Chordata; Actinopteri; Cypriniformes; Cyprinidae.